CUCCUUUAUCUUCACCGAUGGUUGUUUGUGUUGUUGAUAUACAGGAACGGAAGAGGAGGAAAAGAACGUUGCAGAGAAGAAAGCAGCCUUCAACCAACUGCAGCUGCUCGUGGGUGGCCUUCUUUAAUGGGAUGACAGAGAGUGGGCGUAUGGGGGCGGUAAAGACGAUGGUAGGCGUGGUUUUACGUUGCAGGUCAGGGAUGGGGAUGAGGACAGGGUUAUCAUUUUACUGCAAGCGGGCAGCAGCGCUCAGGGGCGUGAGAUUCUUCCUGUCAUGGGAGUGUGUGCGCGAGGCGAGGGGGUGAGAGGGGCCACAUUACCAAGACGAAGACACUGAAUCACUGACAGAGAAGAAACGUCAUUUGCCUCUUUCUGCCCACCGAGCCAUGGGAUGGGACUUUUGGGUCGUCCUGGGGGCAAAAAGCUUCUGCCAUUCUGUGUUCAUGGCCCACUGUUACCUCUCUUAUCCUCCUGGUGCUGGCUCCGGGACAUGAGGUGAACAGUAAUGACUACUCCUCGUUGCCCUCUGGCAUCCACUAUCAGUAUCGCAGGACGUGGUUUUUGUCUCA
Molecule: long non-coding RNA, 569 nt
Organism: Musa acuminata AAA Group (dessert banana)
Lineage: Eukaryota; Viridiplantae; Streptophyta; Magnoliopsida; Zingiberales; Musaceae
Exons: 2
Source: RefSeq, a predicted model, not a curated record